Molecule: long non-coding RNA, 1025 nt
Organism: Myodes glareolus (Bank vole)
Lineage: Eukaryota; Metazoa; Chordata; Mammalia; Rodentia; Cricetidae
Source: RefSeq, a predicted model, not a curated record
CCCAAGGAGCCACCAUCCAAACUAGAGGGCGGACUGGCGCGCGCGGGCUGGGCGGACUUGGCGCGCACUCGCCGGGUGGGAUGGCCGGAAUGCAUGUGUGUCCGGGUUGCAAAAGAUCCCCUCAAUGCGGAAUCUAAAGUGGCUGUCGCCCGGAAACUUAGCUUCGGUUUAUUAUUAGACGUCGGGUAAGAGGGACUCACAGCUGCCCUGACUCCAUACCGGGAGUCUUAUGUAAGAAGAGUAGCAGAACAUGCCGGAUGCACGUGGACACGCGGUGCUUCCUCCACGGCCCUGGUCGUGGUCAGUUUGCUGGGGAAUGGGAGCGCUGGGGCAUUUGGUUCCCUCCUGGCAGGGUCUUUACCGGACUUUCCUACUACUGCUGCCAGAAGGAGAUGAUCUGAAUCACAGCACUUAGGAUGCAGAAUCCAGAAUAUUCCAAGUUGAAGAUUCCUGGGAUUCUGUAAUAUGUUAAAUGGAGAAAUUCUAAGCCAAGGGUUAAUGAAGGAUUAAAGAUGGAUGUCCUGGCUGGGUCAAUUUGACACAAGCUAGAGUCAUCAGAGAAGAAGGAGCCUCAGUUGAGGAAAAGCCUCCAUGGGAUCCAGCUGUAAGACAUUUUCUCAAUUAGUGACUGAUGAGGGAGGGCCCAGCCAAUGGUGAGCAGUACCACCCUGGGGCAUGUGGCCCUGCAUUCUCUAAGAAAGCAGACUGAACAAGCCAUGUGGAGCAAGCAAGUAAGCAGCUCUCCUCCAUGGUCUCUGCAUCAGCUCCUGCCUCCAGGAUCCUGUCCUUUUUGAGUUCCUGUCCUGAUUUCCUUUGAUGAUGAACAGUGAAACUGUCAGCCAAAUGAAACCUUUCCUCCCAGAUUUGCUUUUUGAUCCUGGUGUUUUGUCGCAGUGAUGGAAACCCUAACGAACAAAGUAAGGGUGGUGGUCUGAAUAAGAAUGCCCCACUAGGCUCAUGUAUUUGAAUGCUCAGUCAUCAAGGACUGGGACUAUAUAAAAAAAUUAGAAGUGUGUCCUUGUUGG